This 253-nucleotide ribosomal RNA is filed under the name uncultured bacterium. RNAcentral's name for it is "partial 16S ribosomal RNA". It matches the Rfam family "Bacterial small subunit ribosomal RNA", at positions 524 to 776 of the family's 1533-position model. The record is from RNAcentral.
UACGGGGGGUGCAAGCGUUGUCCGGAAUUACUGGGCGUAAAGCGUGCGCAGGCGGUUCGUUGUGUCGGCGGUGAAAGCCCCGGGCUUAACCUGGGAAUGGCUGUCGAAACUGGCGAACUGGAGUGUGGCAGAGGGGGGUGGAAUUCCGCGUGUAGCAGUGAAAUGCGUAGAGAUGCGGAGGAACACCGAUGGCGAAGGCAGCCCCCUGGGCUGACACUGACGCUCAGGCACGAAAGCGUGGGGAGCAAACAGG